AUUCCGGGCGGCAGCCGCUUUUCUUAUUGGUUGGCACGGCUAUUGGACUAUGGAUUUAUUUAUAUCCCUGUGAACGUUGCCAAAUGUGGCAGUAUUCUUUAGUAGCUGAUGGUCUGAAGUGUAAUCAUCACUUUACAACAUCUCUUUAUACAUGUGGGUCUAAGGAUAUUAAAAUAUGAAUCACAUACUUUGAUACCUAUGUAUAUCCCGUGGCAGCCGGAUGUACGUUCCGUAUUGACCCAAUGAAGUCCUUCAUCGGCAAGGGCUGUUGCAUCGAUCUACGACACACUGCUACAAAAACAACAACAACAUACAAAUGUAUAUUCAUUUACCAAUGCUAGAAUUUUCGUCUUUUACCGUCAAUAAAUCUGAAAAACUUA
This is a long non-coding RNA of Stomoxys calcitrans (stable fly), 380 nucleotides long. RefSeq lists it as uncharacterized. The transcript has 2 exons. The record is from RefSeq and is a predicted model, not a curated record. NCBI's taxonomy places the organism in Eukaryota, Metazoa, Arthropoda, Insecta, Diptera, Muscidae.